This 484-nucleotide ribosomal RNA is filed under the name uncultured bacterium. RNAcentral's name for it is "partial 16S ribosomal RNA". It matches the Rfam family "Bacterial small subunit ribosomal RNA", at positions 30 to 507 of the family's 1533-position model. The record is from RNAcentral.
AUUGAACGCUGGCGGCAGGCCUAACACAUGCAAGUCGAGCGGAUGAAGGGAGCUUGCUCCUGGAUUCAGCGGCGGACGGGUGAGUAAUGCCUAGGAAUCUGCCUGGUAGUGGGGGAUAACGUCCGGAAACGGGCGCUAAUACCGCAUACGUCCUGAGGGAGAAAGUGGGGGAUCUUCGGACCUCACGCUAUCAGAUGAGCCUAGGUCGGAUUAGCUAGUUGGUGGGGUAAAGGCCUACCAAGGCGACGAUCCGUAACUGGUCUGAGAGGAUGAUCAGUCACACGGGAACUGAGACACGGUCCAGACUCCUACGGGAGGCAGCAGUGGGGAAUAUUGGACAAUGGGCGAAAGCCUGAUCCAGCAAUGCCGCGUGUGUGAAGAAGGUCUUCGGAUUGUAAAGCACUUUAAGUUGGGAGGAAGGGCAGUAAGUUAAUACCUUGCUGUUUUGACGUUACCAACAGAAUAAGCACCGGCUAACUUCGUG